UACGUAGGGUGCGAGCGUUAAUCGGAUUUACUGGGCGUAAAGCGCGCGUAGGCGGUUUGUUAAGCGAGAUGUGAAAGCCCCGGGCUCAACCUAGGAAUUGCGCUUGUGACUGGCGGGCUCGAGUACGGUAGAGGGGGGUGGAAUUCCUGGUGUAGCAGUGAAAUGCGUAGAGAUCAGGAGGAACACCGAUGGCGAAGGCAGCCCCCUGGGCCUGUACUGACGCUCAUGCACGAAAGCGUGGGGAGCAAACAGG
RNAcentral lists this ribosomal RNA (253 nucleotides) under uncultured microorganism. RNAcentral's name for it is "partial 16S ribosomal RNA". It matches the Rfam family "Bacterial small subunit ribosomal RNA", at positions 524 to 776 of the family's 1533-position model. The record is from RNAcentral.